AGCCUUAGCUCUCUUACCCUUCAGAUAUAAAUAUUGGCUUCAGUGGCUAAAAAAGGAGGAAAAGUAAAACUGAAAUGGAUUUGGAGUCUUUAAUGACAGGCAAGCUCAUUUCAAAUAUAA
Molecule: small nucleolar RNA, 120 nt
Filed under: Echinops telfairi (small Madagascar hedgehog)
Lineage: Eukaryota; Metazoa; Chordata; Mammalia; Afrosoricida; Tenrecidae
Description: Small nucleolar RNA SNORA61 (ENSETEG00000025053.1)
Source: RNAcentral